UCUGUUUGAUCCCGGCGGAGGUUACUGCUAUCGAGGUUCGACUAAGCCAUGCGAGUCGAAUGUAGCAAUACAUGGCGUACUGCUCAGUAACACGUGGACAACCUACCCUUAGGUCGGGGAUAAACCCGGGAAACUGGGUAUAAUACCCGAUAGUCCUCGGAUGCUGGAAUGCACCGAGGUCUAAAGCUCCGGCGCCUAAGGAUGGGUCUGCGGCCUAUCAGGUAGUAGUGGGUGUAGCGUACCUACUAGCCUACGACGGGUACGGGUUGUGAGAGCAAGAGCCCGGAGAUGGAUUCUGAGACACGAAUCCAGGCCCUACGGGGUGCAGCAGGCGCGAAAACUUUACAAUGCUGGAAACAGCGAUAAGGGGACCUCGAGUGCCAGGUUACAAAUCUGGCUGUCGUGAUGCCUAAAAGCAUUGCAUAGCAAGGGCCGGGCAAGACCGGUGCCAGCCGCCGCGGUAACACCGGCGGCUCGAGUGGUAACCGCUAUUAUUGGGUCUAGAGGGUCUGUAGCCGGCCGGAUAAGUCUUUUGGGAAAUCUGGCAGCUUAACUGUCAGGCUUUCAGAGGAUACUGUCUGGCUCGAGGCCGGGAGAGGUGAGAGGUACUUCAGGGGUAGGGGUGAAAUCUCGUAAUCCUUGAAGGACCACCAGUGGCGAAGGCGUCUCACCAGAACGGACCUGACGGCAAGGGAC
RNAcentral lists this ribosomal RNA (696 nucleotides) under uncultured Methanosaeta sp. RNAcentral describes it as "bacterial SSU rRNA". It matches the Rfam family "Archaeal small subunit ribosomal RNA", at positions 1 to 705 of the family's 1478-position model. The record is from RNAcentral. Lineage: Archaea; Methanobacteriati; Methanobacteriota; Methanomicrobia; Methanotrichales; Methanotrichaceae.